GCAAGUCGAACGGAGUAGCAAUACUUAGUGGCAGACGGGUGAGUAACAUGUGGGUAUCUUCCCUUUGGUGAGGAAUAACACGAGGAAACUUGUGCUAAUACCUCAUAAGUCUUUACGGAGAAAGCUUUAUGCGCCAAUGGAUGAGCCCGCACUUGAUUAGUUUGUUGGUGGGGUAAUGGCCUACCAAGACUUUGAUCAAUAGCUGAUUUGAGAGGAUGAUCAGCCACAUUGGGACUGAGACACGGCCCAAACUCCUACGGGAGGCAGCAGUAGGGAAUCUUGCACAAUGGAGGAAACUCUGAUGCAGCGAUGCCGCGUGAGUGAAGAAGGCCUUUGGGUUGUAAAGCUCUUUCGUCGGGGAAGAAAAUGACUGUACCCGAAUAAGAAGGUCCGGCUAACUUCGUGCCAGCAGCCGCGGUAAUACGAAGGGACCUAGCGUAGUUCGGAAUUACUGGGCUUAAAGAGUUCGUAGGUGGUUAAAAAAGUUGGUGGUGAAAUCCCAGAGCUUAACUCUGGAACUGCCAUCAAAACUUUUUAGCUAGAGUAUGAUAGAGGAAAGCAGAAUUUCUAGUGUAGAGGUGAAAUUCGUAGAUAUUAGAAAGAAUACCAAUUGCGAAGGCAGCUUUCUGGAUCAUUACUGACACUGAGGAACGAAAGCAUGGGUAGCGAAGAGGAUUAGAUACCCUCGUAGUCCAUGCCGUAAACGAUGUGUGUUAGAUGUUGGAAAUUUAUUUUCAGUAUCGCAGCGAAAGCAAUAAACACACCGCCUGGGGAGUACGACCGCAAGGUUAAAACUCAAAUGAAUUGACGGGGACUCGCACAAGUAGUGGAGCAUGUGGUUUAAUUCGAAGAUACGCGCAGACCUUACCAACACUUGACAUGUUCGUUUCGACUCUAGAGAUUAGAGUUUUCGGGUUCGGCCGGACGAAACACA
RNAcentral lists this ribosomal RNA (934 nucleotides) under uncultured Alphaproteobacteria bacterium. RNAcentral describes it as "bacterial SSU rRNA". It matches the Rfam family "Bacterial small subunit ribosomal RNA", at positions 57 to 1036 of the family's 1533-position model. Lineage: Bacteria; Pseudomonadati; Pseudomonadota; Alphaproteobacteria. The record is from RNAcentral.